This 267-nucleotide ribosomal RNA is filed under the name uncultured bacterium. RNAcentral describes it as "partial 16S ribosomal RNA". It matches the Rfam family "Bacterial small subunit ribosomal RNA", at positions 793 to 1055 of the family's 1533-position model. The record is from RNAcentral.
GUCUUGGCUGUAAACGGUGCGCAUUUGCUGUAAACUGAAUCGACCCCGUUUGUGGCGAAGCUAACGCGAUAAAUGCGCCGCCUGGGAAGUACGGUCGCAAGAUUAAAACUCAAAGAAAUUGACGGGGGCCUGCACAAGCGGUGGAGUAUGUGGCUUAAUUCGAUGCAACGCGAAGAACCUUACCUGGCCUUGACAUGCAAGUGGUAGAACCAUGAAAGUGGGACGAUCCCGCAAGGGAAGCUUGCACAGGUGCUGCAUGGCUGUCGU